GAUGAAGAACGUAGCGAAAUGCGAUAAGUAAUGUGAAUUGCAGAAUUCAGUGAAACAUCGAAUCUUUGAACGCAUCUUGCGCUCCUUGGUAUUCUGAGGAGCAUGCCUGUUUGAGUGUCAUUAAAUUCUCAACUACACUGACUUUGAAUUGGUGUGGCUUGGAUUUGGGGGGAAAAUUGUUGUGGGCUUUUUGUAUAGUCUGCUCCCCUGAAAUUGAUUAGCGGUACCUUUGUGGAACUGUCUACAGGUGUGAUAAUUAUCUACAUCUUAGACAUCUGCUGGAAUGCUGCUUUCUAAACCUUACUUGUAUUGACAAUCUUGACCUCAAAUCAGGUAGGACUACCCGCUGAACUUAAGCAUAUCAAUAAGCGGAGGA
RNAcentral lists this unclassified non-coding RNA (376 nucleotides) under soil metagenome. Its description in RNAcentral is "partial contains 5.8S ribosomal RNA, internal transcribed spacer 2, and large subunit ribosomal RNA". The stretch from base 1 to 120 matches the Rfam family "5.8S ribosomal RNA", at positions 35 to 154 of the family's 154-position model. The record is from RNAcentral.